GAGCUGAAGUACAUAAGCCAUCAAAAAGACUUACAUUGCUGUAACAUUCUGAUUUUCCAUGAGAAAGUCUCCCAGCCCAGUUAAAACAGCAGAAGUUUUAGGAUAUCAGUAAGCCCUCCAGAGCUAGGUGCCUAACUGCCUCUGAAUCUGUAAGCAUAGCAGGGUAAGACUAAUAGGCUCUUCCUGGUAUUACAAAGGCAUUUGGAGGUUACAUUCAUUAAAGGCUGAAAGGUGCGGGGGUAUAAUCAGGCAAUGAGAGCUAUGUGGGCCCUUUUCUUAGGUUGUUGCCACCUGGGAGUUAAGAGAGAAACUCAGAAUCCUCUGAUUUCCCCUGGCCUGUUUGAGUGAGUUUGCAGGUCUCGGUUAAAACUCAAGAGCAUAGUAUUUAAAAAACCUUGUCAUAAUAGGCAGACUUGAUGGAAGACUCAACAGAAAAGACAAAACUCCCCAGGCACAAUGGGGAAGUGAGACUGGUAGAAGGCACAUGGGAAGCACCAGUUAAGGCACAGAGUAUUCUAUUUAAUUGCAACUGGAGAGAAAGACUGCUUUGCAGCCAUAAAUUGCAGCCUUCCUCAGUUAUCCUGGUACUCUUCAAAAAAAGAUCUUCAAAAAUUGUUCUUUUUGGCUAUGAAAAUUUUAUCAGAAUAUUUCUGUAGUACUUUGUACCUUUAAUAAGAGUAUUUAAAACAAAAAAAUCAACACUAUUAAUACAAAAUAAAAAGUCUUGCAGGACUACAAUUAGAGUUUUGCAGUUUUGCUUUCCAAUGUGUACUAAU
Long non-coding RNA from Pezoporus flaviventris, 776 nucleotides. RefSeq lists it as uncharacterized. NCBI's taxonomy places the organism in Eukaryota, Metazoa, Chordata, Aves, Psittaciformes, Psittacidae. The record is from RefSeq and is a predicted model, not a curated record. The transcript is spliced from 3 exons.